Molecule: ribosomal RNA, 847 nt
Filed under: uncultured organism
Description: bacterial SSU rRNA
Rfam family: Bacterial small subunit ribosomal RNA
Source: RNAcentral
CCUGGCUCAGGAUGAACGCUAGCGGCAGGCUUAACACAUGCAAGUCGAGGGGUAACGAUUCUGAGUAAUCGGAAGGCGACGACCGGCGCACGGGUGAGUAUCGCGUUUGUAACCUACCUCAAACUGGAGCAUAGCCCGAAGAAAUUCGGAUUAAUACUCCAUAAUACUAUUUUCAGGCAUCUGAAAAUAGUUAAAGCUUCGGCGGUUUGAGAUGGGCAUGCGUAACAUUAGUUUGUUGGUGAGGUAACAGCUCACCAAGACUACGAUGUUUAGGGGGUCUGAGAGGAUGGUCCCCCACACUGGUACUGAGACACGGACCAGACUCCUACGGGAGGCAGCAGUGAGGAAUAUUGGUCAAUGGGCGAAAGCCUGAACCAGCCAUGCCGCGUGAAGGAUGACGGCCCUAGUGGUUGUAAACUUCUUUUAUACGGGAAGAAACCCCUCUACGUGUAGAGGGUUGACGGUACCGUACGAAUAAGCAUCGGCUAACUCCGUGCCAGCAGCCGCGGUAAUACGGAGGAUGCAAGCGUUAUCCGGAUUUAUUGGGUUUAAAGGGUGCGUAGGCGGAAAAUUAAGUCAGUGGUGAAAUCCUGCAGCUUAACUGUAGAACUGUCAUUGAUACCGAUUUUCUUGAAUACAGUUGAGGUAGGCGGAAUGUGUAAUGUAGCGGUGAAAUGCUUAGAUAUUACACAGAACACCGAUUGCGAAGGCAGCUUACUAAACUGUGAUUGACGCUGAGGCACGAAAGCGUGGGGAGCAAACAGGAUUAGAUACCCUGGUAGUCCACGCUGUAAACGAUGAUCACUCGUUGUUGGCAAUACAUCGUCAGCGACUGAGCGAAAGCAUU